AAUAUUGGUCAAUGGACGCAAGUCUGAACCAGCCAUGUCGCGUGCAGGAUGACGGCCCUAUGGGUUGUAAACUGCUUUUUUACAGGAAUAAUUGUCACUACGUGUAGUGAUUUGAAUGUACUGUAUGAAUAAGGAUCGGCUAACUCCGUGCCAGCAGCCGCGGUAAUAUGGAGGAUUCGAGCGUUAUCCGGAUUUAUUGGGUUUAAAGGGUCCGUAGGCGGUUCUUUAAGUCAGUGGUGAAAUCCCAGAGCUCAACUCUGGAACUGCCAUUGAAAAUGAAGAACUUGAAUAUCGUUGAGGUAGGCGGAAUAUGUUAUGUAGCGGUGAAAUGCAUAGAUAUUACGUAGAACCCCAAUUGGGAAGGCAGCUUACUAAGCCUUUAUUGACGCUGAUGGACGAAAGCGUGGGGAAAGAACAGGAUUAGAUACCCCGGUAGUCCCCGCCCUA
This 447-nucleotide ribosomal RNA is filed under the name uncultured marine bacterium. Its description in RNAcentral is "bacterial SSU rRNA". It matches the Rfam family "Bacterial small subunit ribosomal RNA", at positions 360 to 804 of the family's 1533-position model. The record is from RNAcentral.